GUGACAAAACCACGACAACUAAGGAAACCUUUGAACAUAUUCCAAAACGUGUACGAUCAUUGGUAUCAGGUGGCUGCGAGAAGAAGCUAAAUGCAGCCAGCAGUGAUGUCCUGCGCAAGUCGGUAAUGCAAGCCAUGCCAAUUUAUUACUUACAAGAAAAUUACCUCAUUGAUAUACAGCUGUUAUUGGGUGGGGGUGUCCAGGCAAGAGGAAAAUGCACUGGUUAAAUUGGCUAGACAUGACUCGCUUCAAAUUGCAUGGUGGUAUGGGCUUCCUUGAUCUUCCCACCUUCAAUCUGGCGAUGCUUGGGAAACAAGGAUGGCUUUUAAUGAUGAAGCCCCACUCAUUAUUUGCUAGGGUAUGAAAAGGAAAAUACUACCCACAUUGCGAUUUUAUGCAAGCUAAGAAAGGAAGACACUCAUCACGUACCUCGCGAGCGAUUAUUAGUGGGCGUAUAGUCCUAAAAAUGGCCUUCAUCAAAAGGGUGGGAACAGGCACAUAGAUUAAUAUUUGGGAAGAUCAAUGAACCCCUUCGAAUCCGUCACUACGCCCCAUGUGGAAACACUACAACAAGAACCCCCAUUUAACAACACAUGUCUAGCAACGGUGAUGGCUUAUGUGUUGUUUUGUUCAACCUCCCACUUCCCUCACUUAUCCCUUACUUGGCGCUAACCUCCUUGCUUUAGAAAAGGGAUAUCUGACCUCCUCGUUUCCAAAAAAAAUCCCCGUAACCUAUCUCCACCUCAUUCUACACAUCUAUCCGCCAUCUCUCUCUCCCACGAUUCCUCUCAGCCCAGGCCCAGCCGAACACCACGCCGCCGCCGCAGGUCGGUUCUGGCUAGCUCCGGCGCCCCCUGCCCCCCGCCCCGACUGCGCCACCACUCAACUGUCGGCUCCGCUGGUCUCCUCGGAUCCUCCCCCGCCGCAGCAUCCUCGGCGCCCCUGAACAUGCUCCUACAGCAACCCUAGUUGGCACGGGCGGCACGACUCCUACGCCUCCUCGGGUUCAUAGGCCCACUACCUCCGUGUAUCUUCAUAUGCUGCCGCCGGAUCGGCUUCGACUGUCAUCCUCUACCUCGGCUACCUCCUCCAACACUGACGAUUCAUGAAGAAUCUGAAUGUGUUAUGCACCCAAGCUGUUGGCAGUAUUGCAGGUGGAGUUGUAUAGGAAAGCUGAACAAUUAUAUCUCGAAGCAAUUGAAAUCCUGGAGAAAUCAUUUGAACCUACUGAUAUACUGUACUGGUUGGAACAACUUUGCGUAAUGUUGGACAAUACUAUCAUAUUCAGAACAGGUUUGAUCAAGCUGAGAUAUAUUACGAGAUUGCCAAGAUAAACUGAUGAUACAUGGCCCAAGUUUUGGUUGCAAGGUUAUGAAAGAGGCUACUACAAGAUAAAUAGAAUGUCAUUGUAUUGAUCAAUGUUUCAAACAUUAUAGUUGAUUGCAAGCUCGGGAAUUGGGCUACUACUAGAUAGUUUCACAUCAUGUAAUCUUUGGAUCGUGAUCUUUGUAAUGCAACAUAUCUGG
This is a long non-coding RNA of Triticum aestivum (bread wheat), 1526 nucleotides long. RefSeq lists it as uncharacterized. The transcript has 4 exons. Lineage: Eukaryota; Viridiplantae; Streptophyta; Magnoliopsida; Poales; Poaceae. The record is from RefSeq and is a predicted model, not a curated record.